Molecule: ribosomal RNA, 613 nt
Filed under: Entoloma clypeatum
Lineage: Eukaryota; Fungi; Basidiomycota; Agaricomycetes; Agaricales; Entolomataceae
Description: eukaryotic LSU rRNA
Rfam family: Eukaryotic large subunit ribosomal RNA
Source: RNAcentral
AGGAAAAGAAACUAACAAGGAUUCCCCUAGUAACUGCGAGUGAAGCGGGAAAAGCUCAAAUUUAAAAUCUGGUAGUCUUUGGCUGCCCGAGUUGUAAUCUAGAGAAGUGUUAUCCGCACUGGACCGUGUACAAGUCUCCUGGAAUGGAGCGUCAUAGAGGGUGAGAAUCCCGUCUUUGACACGGACUACCAGGGCUUUGUGAUGCGCUCUCAAAGAGUCGAGUUGUUUGGGAAUGCAGCUCUAAAUGGGUGGUAAAUUCCAUCUAAAGCUAAAUAUUGGCGAGAGACCGAUAGUGAACAAGUACCGUGAGGGAAAGAUGAAAAGAACUUUGGAAAGAGAGUUAAACAGUACGUGAAAUUGUUGAAAGGGAAACGCUUGAAGUCAGUCGUGUUGGCCAGGGAUCAACCUUGCUUCUUGCUUGGUGUACUUUCUGGUUAAUGGGUCAGCAUCAAUUUUGACCAGUGGAAAAAGACUAGGGGAAUGUGGCAUCUUCGGAUGUGUUAUAGCCCUUGGUUGCAUACACUGGUUGGGAUUGAGGAACUCAGCACGCCGCAAGGCCGGGUUUUUACCACGUUCGUGCUUAGGAUGCUGGCAUAAUGGCUUUAAUCGACCC